Triticum aestivum (bread wheat) is the source of this 135-nucleotide non-coding RNA. NCBI's taxonomy places the organism in Eukaryota, Viridiplantae, Streptophyta, Magnoliopsida, Poales, Poaceae. The record is from Rfam.
GUAGUACUCUCUCCGUCCAAAAAUACUUGUCAUCAAAAUGAAUAAAAGGGGAUGUAUCUAGACGUAUUUUAGUUCUAGAUACAUCCCAUUUUAUCCAUUUUGAUGACAAGUAUUUCCGGACGGAGGGAGUACUAC